Molecule: ribosomal RNA, 440 nt
Filed under: uncultured bacterium
Lineage: Bacteria
Description: partial 16S ribosomal RNA
Rfam family: Bacterial small subunit ribosomal RNA
Source: RNAcentral
CCUACGGGCGGCAGCAGUAGGGAAUAUUGCUCAAUGGGGGAAACCCUGAAGCAGCAACGCCGCGUGGAGGAUGAAGGUUUUCGGAUUGUAAACUCCUUUUGUUAGAGAAGAUAAUGACGGUAUCUAACGAAUAAGCACCGGCUAACUCCGUGCCAGCAGCCGCGGUAAUACGGAGGGGGCAAGCGUUACUCGGAAUCACUGGGCGUAAAGAGCGCGUAGGCGGGAUAGCAAGUCAGAUGUGAAAUCCUAGGGCUUAACCAUAGAACUGCAUUUGAAACUGUUAUUCUAGAGUAUGGGAGAGGUAGGUGGAAUUCUUGGUGUAGGGGUAAAAUCCGUAGAGAUCAAGAGGAAUACUCAUUGCGAAGGCGACCUGCUAGAACAUAACUGACGCUGAUGCGCGAAAGCGUGGGGAGCAAACAGGAUUAGAUACCCCGGUAGUC